AUACGUAGGGUGCAAGCGUUAUCCGGAAUUAUUGGGCGUAAAGCGUUCGUAGGUGGUUUAGAAAGUUUGUAGUUAAAUAUGGUCGCUCAACGAUCAACUCGCAACACAAACUCCUAAACUAGAGAUUGGCAGAGGCAACUGGAAUUCCACAUGUAGGGGUAAAAUCCGUUGAUAUGUGGAGGAACACCAAAAGCGAAGGCAGGUUGCUGGGCCAUUUCUGACGCUGAGGAACGAAAGCGUGGGGAGCAAACAGGAUUAGAAACCCCAGUAGUCC
Molecule: ribosomal RNA, 274 nt
Filed under: uncultured bacterium
Lineage: Bacteria
Description: partial 16S ribosomal RNA
Rfam family: Bacterial small subunit ribosomal RNA
Source: RNAcentral